GCCACGGUAGAUCAAUGGUAGAUCGCAUCUAACAUAUGAUCGAUAUCCUCUAUGAGAACAUUCAUGAUGAGAUCAUGGUUCGAAUCCAUGUCGUAGCA
Molecule: transfer RNA, 98 nt
Rfam family: tRNA
About the family: Transfer RNA (tRNA) molecules are approximately 80 nucleotides in length.